Molecule: transfer RNA, 77 nt
Filed under: Leptolyngbya sp. Cla-17
Lineage: Bacteria; Bacillati; Cyanobacteriota; Cyanophyceae; Leptolyngbyales; Leptolyngbyaceae
Description: tRNA-Glu
Rfam family: tRNA
About the family: Transfer RNA (tRNA) molecules are approximately 80 nucleotides in length. Their secondary structure includes four short double-helical elements and three loops (D, anti-codon, and T loops).
Source: RNAcentral
GGUGCCGUAGGCAAAUCGGUAAAGCCACAGCACUUUCAAUGCUGCGUUUGCGGGUUUAACCCCCGUCGGCACUGCCA